Molecule: ribosomal RNA, 498 nt
Filed under: uncultured bacterium
Lineage: Bacteria
Description: partial 16S ribosomal RNA
Rfam family: Bacterial small subunit ribosomal RNA
Source: RNAcentral
AUUGAACGCUGGCGGAAUGCUUUACACAUGCAAGUCGAACGGCAGCACGGGGCAACCUGGUGGCGAGUGGCGAACGGGUGAGUAAUACAUCGGAACGUGCCCAGUCGUGGGGGAUAACGUAGCGAAAGUUACGCUAAUACCGCAUACGAUCUAAGGAUGAAAGCGGGGGAUCGCAAGACCUCGCGCGAUUGGAGCGGCCGAUGUCAGAUUAGGUAGUUGGUGGGGUAAAGGCCCACCAAGCCGACGAUCUGUAGCUGGUCUGGGAGGACGACCAGCCACACUGGGACUGAGACACGGCCCAGACUCCUACGGGAGGCAGCAGUGGGGAAUUUUGGACAAUGGGCGCAAGCCUGAUCCAGCAAUGCCGCGUGCAGGAUGAAGGCCUUCGGGUUGUAAACUGCUUUUGUACGGAACGAAACGGCGAGCUCUAAUACAGUUUGCUAAUGACGGUACCGUAAGAAUAAGCACCGGCUAACUACGUGCCAGCCGCCGCCGUAA